AUUCUUAUAGCUUAUUAUUUAGAGUUUAAUAUUGAAAGUAUUAAUGUGUAAUUUAUUACUGAGAAUA
RNAcentral lists this transfer RNA (67 nucleotides) under Taharana fasciana. RNAcentral describes it as "tRNA-Phe". Lineage: Eukaryota; Metazoa; Arthropoda; Insecta; Hemiptera; Cicadellidae. The record is from RNAcentral.